This 72-nucleotide transfer RNA is filed under the name Cryptosporangium aurantiacum. It matches the Rfam family "tRNA". From Rfam's summary of the family: Transfer RNA (tRNA) molecules are approximately 80 nucleotides in length. Their secondary structure includes four short double-helical elements and three loops (D, anti-codon, and T loops). Further hydrogen bonds mediate the characteristic L-shaped molecular structure. tRNAs have two regions of fundamental functional importance: the anti-codon, which is responsible for specific mRNA codon recognition, and the 3' end, to which the tRNAs corresponding amino acid is attached (by aminoacyl-tRNA synthetases). tRNAs cope with the degeneracy of the genetic code in two manners: having more than one tRNA (with a specific anti-codon) for a particular amino acid; and 'wobble' base-pairing, i.e. permitting non-standard base-pairing at the 3rd anti-codon position. Lineage: Bacteria; Bacillati; Actinomycetota; Actinomycetes; Cryptosporangiales; Cryptosporangiaceae. The record is from Rfam by way of RNAcentral.
GCCCGUGAGGUUGAGGAAGGUAGACCGCUGGCCUCUCAAGCCAGAGGACCGGGUUCGGCCCCCGGACGGGCG